AUAUUUGAUUUAAAAAAAAAAAUAAUAAUAGUCUCAACAUAUAUUUUAAAGUAACAAUAGAUAUAAACAUUUUACACAUUGAAAUCGAAUCAGCUAAUACGUUUCUGGAGAGAGAAAGAAGAGUGAGAAUUUGCUCUCUAGGAACCCCAAGUGGGUUAAAGUGUUCUUUUAAUAGAAAGAGAGUUCAACUCGUCUUUGAUGAGUGGGGGUCUUUAAAACACGUUUUAUUUUUCCCUUCUUAUCCUCUUAUAUUAUAUUUAAGUGGGUUUUGGCUUAAAAGAAAGAUCUUUUCAGUGUUUCUGUUCGGUGUUCUUAUCGCUUUUGAAUCUGGGUUGUAGAAAGAAAAAAAAAAGACCUAUUCCGUCUAGUUCUCGUCUGCAAAUAUGUCUGUGGCUAUGGAUCGGGCCUUAAUGGCUUUGUCCCUGG
RNAcentral lists this long non-coding RNA (426 nucleotides) under Brassica rapa (field mustard). RNAcentral describes it as "long non-coding RNA (BRAP_LNC003659)". Lineage: Eukaryota; Viridiplantae; Streptophyta; Magnoliopsida; Brassicales; Brassicaceae. The record is from RNAcentral.